RNAcentral lists this ribosomal RNA (253 nucleotides) under uncultured bacterium. RNAcentral's name for it is "partial 16S ribosomal RNA". It matches the Rfam family "Bacterial small subunit ribosomal RNA", at positions 524 to 776 of the family's 1533-position model. The record is from RNAcentral.
UACGAAGGGUGCAAGCGUUACUCGGAAUUACUGGGCGUAAAGCGUGCGUAGGUGGUUUGUUAAGUCUGCUGUGAAAUCCCCGGGCUCAACCUGGGAAUGGCAGUGGAUACUGGCAAGCUAGAGUGCGGUAGAGGGAUGUGGAAUUCCCGGUGUAGCGGUGAAGUGCGUAGAGAUCGGGAGGAACACCAGUGGCGAAGGCGGCAUCCUGGACCAGCACUGACACUCAGGCACGAAAGCGUGGGGAGCAAACAGG